RNAcentral lists this long non-coding RNA (216 nucleotides) under Elaeis guineensis (African oil palm). Its description in RNAcentral is "long non-coding RNA (EGUI_LNC044253)". The record is from RNAcentral. Lineage: Eukaryota; Viridiplantae; Streptophyta; Magnoliopsida; Arecales; Arecaceae.
GACUUAGGAAAAGUAUCCAAUAUUCUUGGACUAAAGGUCUAUAGAGAUAGAUCUAGAAGGAUGCUUGGCCUAUCAUAAAAAUUGUACAUAGAAAAAUGCUGAAGCGGUUCAACAUGAAAAACUCCAAAAGGAGUUUGCUACCCCUUAGGUAUGGUAUUCGACUCUUUCAGACGAUGUGUCCUAAUACUUCUAAGGAGAUUAAGUGCAUGAGUAGGA